CAAAAACAUCUCUUUUUGACACAUAAAAAGUACCGUCUGCUCAAUGCAAUUUGUAAAUAGCCGCAGUAUUCUGACUGUGCUAAGGUAGCAUAAUCAUUAGUCUUUUAAUUGAAGGCUGGUAUGAAUGACGAGACGAGAAAAUAGCUGUCUCUAAAAUAAAUCUUGAAUUUUAUUUCUAAGUGAAAAAGCUUAGAUAAUUUUAAAGGACGAUCAGACCCUUUGGAGCUUUAUUUAUUUUAAAUUUUAAUUUAUUUUAGAUUAUUGAAUGAAUAAUAAAUUUUGUUGGGGCGACAGAGAGUAAUAAAUACCACUCUUUUUUUUAAACAAUUAUAAUUGAAAAAUUGAUCCUUAAAGUAAGAUUAAAAGACUAAGUUACCCUAGGGAUAACAGCGUAAUCUUCUUGGAGAGUUCAAAUCGAUAAGAAGGUUUGCGACCUCGAUGUUGGAUUAAGAGAUUGACAAAGAGCAGAAGUUUUGUUGGAAAGUCUGUUCGACUUUUAAUUUCUUACAUGAUCUGA
This 517-nucleotide ribosomal RNA is filed under the name Daphnia sinensis. RNAcentral's name for it is "partial large subunit ribosomal RNA". It matches the Rfam family "Bacterial large subunit ribosomal RNA", at positions 1808 to 2608 of the family's 2925-position model. The record is from RNAcentral. Lineage: Eukaryota; Metazoa; Arthropoda; Branchiopoda; Diplostraca; Daphniidae.